Molecule: long non-coding RNA, 6324 nt
Filed under: Sus scrofa (pig)
Lineage: Eukaryota; Metazoa; Chordata; Mammalia; Artiodactyla; Suidae
Description: lncRNA (ENSSSCG00050017144.1)
Source: RNAcentral
GCAUUUGAAUUACAGAGCUAAGAUUGAACCCCAGGAUUUGGGAGAGAAAGGACAGAGACAAUGGAGCACUAAAGUUUAGAUCACACCGUGAAGGAAACUGGAAAAGCUAAGUGUGGUUAUAUGGAAAGUCAAUACUCACAUUGUAUGGGGAAGUGUUACGCAAUUGCAUAGACUUUAACUCCUGUGUAGCGAGGUGCUAAUACCAUGUGGCAAACUGUGUAACUGAUGUAUCAAGAGGAGGAUACUCUAGCACAUAAAGAAUGAGCAGAGGAAGGGCAUCUGACUCAGCUCUCAGUAGCUGGAGGUGUCCAGAAAGGUUUCUAUGAAGAAACUGGAACUGAAUUUUGAAGAAUAGGCACAUCUUCCAGGUAAGUGGAUGGGGAAAAUGAGUGGGACCACGAAGAGAAAAACGGAAUAUCCAAGAGGGAUAGGAAGUGGUAUGUGUAAGAAGAAAGGGGAGUUUCAGUAUUCAGCUGGCGAGAUCAGUUUGUGUAAUGUUCAUUUGGAGAUGUGUGAACUGAAGAAGUAAUAAUGCCCAGCAGUCAGGCCUGAUUUUGUCUGAGGUUUGGAGUUAGAAGUGGCUAAAUAUAAAGAUGUGAGCAUCACGUAUGUAUUGAUAGUAUUUAAAGUUAGGGGUUUAAAAGCAUCUUCCCAAAGGAGUGCAUGAGGGUAUAGGAGUUGAAAUCAAUGUGCUAUAGUAAAGGAAUAAUGGAAAGUAAAUAGGGGGGAAAAUAUGAGUAGAGGCUAUUCUUUCAAGGAGCUUGGUUUAGAGGGUAAUGAGUGUUAUAGUAUUAGUUAAAGAAUGAUGUAUCUUCUCGAACAGGGUUUCUUAACAGCCAGUAGACAUUUGGGGAUGCAUAACUUUGCUAUGAGGAGCUGUUCUGUGCAUUUUCAGAAAUUUAGCAGCCAUCCCUGAGCUCUACCCACUUGAUGCCAGCAGCAUAUCCACUGCAAGCUGUGACAACCAGACUAUCUCCAAGCAUUGCCAAAUGCCUUCUGAGGGCAAAUUUAUCCCCGGUUGAGAACCAUGGCUCUAGAAGGCGUUCAUUUUAAUUAAACAAUCAAUAAGCAUAACUGCAAUUAGAAGAGGAUACGAUUGAAUAGUGAGAGGUGCAAGGGGGAAAGAGAAGCAGUCUGCUGAUGGGAUCACUGGGAAUAAGAACUUUCAAAGACAGAGGAAAAUAGACUCAGGAAAAAAAUGGAGAGUAAUACUGUUCAUAGGAUUAGGAGGAAAACUCAGAGAGGCUGCCAGCCAGUGAUAUCAUAGCUUGUGAUAUUCUUAUCAUUAGAUAUGUUAAAAAGGAAGCCAGUUGUCUCUGUUCCCAGCUGAAGACAAUCCUCCCACUUGCGUCCUGGAUUCCUACCUUUCUCACCUGGUCGAGAUCUUUGCUCUGGCUGCAUUCCGUCACUCUUCCUCAGUAGCAGACCGUCCCUCUCUACAGAUUAUUCCUGUCGUAAAAUGAUUCAAGCUUCCAUGGAGACAGUUCUUGAGCCCACAAACAGGAAAGGUUAAGUGCAGUUCUUUCUUAUUACUGCUGUAACAAAUUGUUCCAAACUUAGUACUUAAAACAACAAAUUUACUUUCUUAACAUGUUUUGCAGCCGAAAAUCUGCAAUGAGCAUUACAGGGCUGAGAUCAUGGUGUCGGUCAGUGCCGUGUUCGUCUGAAGGCUCCAGGGCAGAGUCUCUUCCCUUGUCUUUCCCAGCUUCCACAGUCUGUCUUGAUCCCUUGGCUUAUGAGCUCUUGUCUGUCUUUAAAGCACAUUGUUUCAGGAGUUCCUGUCGUGGCGCAGUGGUUAACGAAUCCGACUAGGAACCAGGAGGUUGCGGGUUCGGUCCCUGGCCUUGCUUAGUGGGUUAACGAUCCGGCGUUGCCAUGAACUGUGGUGUAGGUUGCGGACGCACGGCUUCAGAUCCCGCAUUGCUGUGGCUCUGGCGUAGGCCUGUGGCUACACCUCCGAUUCGACCCCUAGCCUGGGAACCUCCAUGUGCUGCGGGAGCCGCCCAAGAAAUAGCAAAAAGACAAAAAAAUAAAAAAUAAAAAAAAUAAAGCACAUGGUUUCAGCCUCUGCUUCCGUCACUCCGUCUCCUUCUUAUGACUUUGACUUUUUGGCCUCUAUUUUAGAAGGAUCUUUUUGAUCACAUUGAGCGCAUAUGAAUAAUCCAGGAUAAUCUUCCUAUCUCAAGAUCUCUAACCCUAUCACAUCUCCAAAAUUCCCUUUUACUGUGUAAGGUAAUAUAUUAGAGUUGCCAGAGAUUAGGAUGUGGACGUAUUUGGAAGGGCUACUACUGUAUGGUGAAAGGAAGACUAUGACGAGGUGAUAAGAAUUAUGCAGGUUAGAUACAUGAGAUGGAGGAGGAAGAAUUAUAUCUGGAAGGCAUUUUGACUAAAAGUAAGACAAACCUUGGUCAUGAUAAGUAGAAUAAAAGAGAUCAGCCUAUCCAUCUGUUGCUUGGUUCUCAAGACUGAACUAGAAUAGGACCAGGGUCCCCAAGGACAGGUUAAUGCACGGUGGUAGUUAACAUUCACUCCAUUUCAUUCUCAUUUUUAUCAAUCUACUAGAAAAUCUAGCAGUUUAAUUUCUGGUGCAUUUGGAGGCCAUCAGGUGUUCUUUAAAUGCAGCCUCUCAAGAAAAUAAAGUUUCAUCAGAACCAUCUGGCAAGUCUACAUCACAAGGGAACAGAGUGGCAGACCCAACCUGCUUGGGAUACACAUUUCAUGCAAAUGUGUUAGGGCGCAAAUGCUACUGAUCUCACAUCUCAAAUGGUCAAUGGAGGUCGCUUUAUUGCUAUGCCUUCUAUUAUUAGCAAUAUGAAAUUUCCAAUCUGUUUACUUCUCUUUGUUACCUGAGAUCAGUUUCACAAUAAGCUACACACAACAUAUUCUACUAAGCUCUGACUCAGGAAAGAAAAUGAUUGUAACCAGAAGUGGGUGUUGAUGUCUAAUACAUGUAAAUGUAGCAAAAAACCAUUAGACAAUGAAAGUUAGCUCCCAGAUGGUACUACCAUCUGGAACAUAAAUCCAUAAAGGUACUUCUGUAGUAUUUUUGCAAUGAAAAAUCAGGCCUUACUGAGAAUUUUUAAUGGCCACUUACGAAGUUCACUGUUAACAUUAGUGUUGAUAAAUGACAAUUAUACAUGUAUAUACACACUUGCAUUCGUCAAGGAAGAUCUAGAAGCUCCCGGCUUCUGUUAAAGAAAAAGUGUGUUGUAAACUAAUUGGUCUCUGGGAGAAUGCAUGCAGCUGCUUUAGUAACUGGGAUGUGAAAAAUUUUAAUUCCAUGUAAGUGCAGAAAGCAACAUUCAUCUAUUAGGACUUUUUUCUUUGUUUUGUCUUUUUAAGUCUUUUGCAAAUAUUAACCAGGUACUUUACUUAAUUCUCUUUUACAUUCUCAUUUCACAGAUAGAUGAGUAAGAGAAAGACAAUUAGUAAUUUAUUUGCAGCUUUAAAGUAAAUAACACAUGGAGUCUCCCUGCUAUAAUAUGAUUUUCUCUAAAGCAGACAGGGAAAUGAGACUGGCUUUGUCUGAAGGCUAUUAAGGAGUGUCCUUCUUAAUGUCAUUACCUCAUCUGUUAUACAGUCUGCAGCAUCACCCAGGCAGUACUGUAGUAAUGGUUCUUUCUACUGAUUAUUUGCAUGAAAACUCCUUAAUUUAUACUUGUAACACUUCUUUCUGUAAGAAAAAAAAAAUCAAGUGACUUCUACUUAGAAACAAGUUUCUAUAGGAUGUUUUUAGGCAAUUGUACUCCUUUAUGGAUAUGUAAAAGGCCAUGUAAAGGCAAGCUGAUCUAUAUGCUCCUAUUUUAUUUACAUAUUUAUGUAUUUUUUAACAUUGAAUUGGUUCCACUGUUGCUGUUUUCUGUGGGAUGAGAGUUGAAGAACUUUAGGGCUGAAUUUCAAUGUGAUCUGAGAAAUGUGCAAUAAAUAGCAGACAGAUUGAUUUCCUAGAAACCUGUCAUAAUGAGAUUGCACAGAAUAUCGGGCCCGGCUUCAGGCUUACUCUUCAUUGAUCCCCAAGUGAUAUGGCUGACCAUGAAAUUCCACUUGUUUCCAUGUUAGAACCUACUUAGGAAACACGGCCCCUGGAUGAUAAUGGCAGAUUCGGAAAAGAUCUUUAUGUAUAUAGUGUAUGGAGACACAUACACACACAAAGUGCCUCUUACCUCAAAGUUCCCCUCUCACCUUCACCCCCUGUAUUAGAAAAUUCAAUUGAAAACUUACUAACUUUUGAUCCCUUAUGCAUUUUAUUGUUAUAAAUUCCUCCAAUGCCAGACAUGAGUAAUUCACAAAACAUAGAUGAAUUGGAUCCUCUCAUUUGUGAAGCUCGGCACUUCAUCUUUGUCAUACCUCUGUAAUGGAAUAGGUUUAGUUAUUAGCUGAAUAUAAUCUUAUAAAGAUGUGUAUUUGAAAGUAAAAUGGAAUUCAUGUUUUCAUCCAUGAGUGGCAUAUUUAAAUUCUGUUCACAGUGAAGUGCUACAUAUAAUUUCAUUUUGGAAUUUUAAAUGUCCUUAGUGGAUGCAUAGCUUUUAGCAUUAAAUGUGUGCUGUGUAUCCAUUCUUAGCUCUCCAGUGCCAGAGAACUUCAACAGAAGGAUAUGGGAGAGUCUAACCACACUAAUAUUGUUAGGGAAAUCAUCAUUAGUCAGUGCUCUAUUUCAGUGGUAGAGGAUUGGGAGUUCAAGUCCCAUUUCCGUUUCUGUCUGUAUUUAACUGCCAGAUGCAUAGGAUAUUUCCCCAGAAAGGUUCAGUGGAAUAUGAAAGAGUCAGAAACCAAAUUAGCAGCCCUGGACUGGGGCCAUGAACUGGGGUGAAAUAUAGAUCAGCACAAAUGUCUCCCAUCUUCUCUUUUAGACCAAUUGUGAGUGUUUUUUUGAUUGAAACAAUUAUAAAACUGAUAUGAGUUGGCGAAAUUGAAAACUACCAAAAUAACUGCAUGGCACUAGCUUCGAUAUUCCUCACAUUGGGGACUGAAAAUCUAUCUUCUGGUUCAUAAAGUAAGAAAACGUGAGAGCACUGAACUUUUAGAUCCUAUUAGUAGUAUAAAAAUAUCACACUUGGCAUUUUGGUUCAUUAUGCAGAUUAAGAAUAUUGGACAAGCAUUACUCUGAGAUCUGAGAUCAUGGCUAGUCAUUUAUCUCUGAGGGAAAAGGGUGUAGUAAAUAUUCAUUUCACUUUGUUACUGAGAAUUGAGCAUAGAUUCCUAGAGUGACAUGAUAUCUGAAAUUGUUUCCCUUUUAAUAAUAACAAGAUUAAUGUUCCUUCUAUACUUGUGUGUGAUAACUGGUAUACAUAGUAACUCUCUUCCUAAGAAACACUCAUGCUAUUACAAAAUAAUAAAGCUCAAACUUUGCAUAGCACCAUUUCACCACUACCACCACCCACUCUAUCUACUCAAAGAUAUAAAAUCUAUUUCCUUUGUGAAAUGGAUUGUGCAUUGUUAAAUUUGCGCCAACUAGGAAUACCCAGAAGUCUGGGCCUUUUAUCCCCAAAAGCUCCCAUUUCAUUUUCCACUCAGCUGUCAAGCAUUUUAACAUAAGUGCAUUGCAUGUGCUCUGCCUGUUUGUCUCUUUUCCAGAUGAGCUCAUGUCAACUUUUUUUAAAAUGCAGAUUAAGAGGUCUUACGUCCUAGAUCUAACCAUGACAUUUUUUAAAAUUUAGCCAUGGAAAGUCUGUUCUUUCUUUCAUAGAUGUUUCCUCCCAUCGUUCCUCAUCGGAUUUCCAUCAACUUUUGAAUUAGAGUAUGUGAUUUUGGUGGUGGUGGCGAUGGUUGUUUUUGCUUUCAAAGGAAAUGGCAAAUAGAAAUGAGAUGGAGCUAACUCCCCUUUAACUUACUCUCCAAAGCUUAGAGAGUUUAGGAGCUUAUGAUUCUAUAAGAAUUAAUAAUUGGAAAAGGCAUGGAAUGGGAACUACCAUAGUAGACAAGGGAGAAUAGAGAGGGAGGAAGGAUGUUAUGGUAACUCAAUACAUUUGUUAUGAUAUCAUACAUGUGCUAUUGUAUGACAUUAUAUAUGUAAUACAUAAUAUAGUCGAAAUGCAUCCAGUCUUCCUGUAUGAAUUGAAUUUGAUGUUCUUGGUAACAGUUCACAGUUAAGCCAAUGUUUGAGUUAAUCACAGAGCUUAAUAACUUCCCAUAUGCAUUCCAUUAACUUAAGAAAAAAGAGGAGUUCCCAUCGUGGUGCAGCAGAAAUGAAUCCAACUAGGAACCAUGAGGUUGUGGGUUUAAUCCCUGGCCUCGCUCAGUGGGUUAAAGAUCUGGCAUUGCUGUGGCUCUGGCGUAGGCCAGCGGCAACAGCUCCGAUUAGACCGCUAGCCUGGGAACCUCCAU